This 467-nucleotide ribosomal RNA is filed under the name uncultured bacterium. RNAcentral describes it as "partial 16S ribosomal RNA". It matches the Rfam family "Bacterial small subunit ribosomal RNA", at positions 28 to 507 of the family's 1533-position model. The record is from RNAcentral.
GAUGAACGCUGGCGGCGUGCCUAACACAUGCAAGUCGAACGAUGAAGCCCAGCUUGCUGGGUGGUUUAGUGGCGAACGGGUGAGUAACACGUGAGCAACCUGCCCCCCACUCUGGGUUAAGCGCUGGAAACGGCGCCUAAUACUGGAUAUGUCCUGUCAUCGCACGGUGUGUGGGUGGAAAGAUUUUUCGGUUGGGGAUGGGCUCGCGGCGUAUCAGCUUGUUGGUGCGGUAUGGGCUGACGAAGGCGUCGACGGGUAGCCGGCCUGAGCAGGUGACCGGCCACACGAGGACUGAGAGACGGCCCAGACGCCUACGGGAGGCAGCAGUGGGGAAUAUUGCACAAUAGGCGGAAGCCUGAGGCAACAACGCCGCGUGAGGGAUAACGGCCUUCGGGUGGUAAACCUCUUUGAGCGGGGAAGAAGCGAAAGUGACGGUACCUGCAGAGAAAGCACCGGCUAACUACGUG